Molecule: ribosomal RNA, 989 nt
Filed under: human gut metagenome
Description: bacterial LSU rRNA
Rfam family: Bacterial large subunit ribosomal RNA
Source: RNAcentral
AACUAUAACGGUCCUAAGGUAGCGAAAUUCCUUGUCAGGUAAGUUCUGACCCGCACGAAAGGCGUAAUGAUGUGGGCGCUGUCUCGGCAGCAGACUCGGUGAAAUCUUAGUACCUGUGAAGAUGCAGGUUACCCGCAACUAGACGGAAAGACCCCAUGGAGCUUUACUAUAACUUAAUAUUGAGUUUUGAUUUAGUAUGUACAGGAUAGGUAGGAGACUUUGAAGUGAGAACGCUAGUUUUCAUGGAGUCGAUGUUGGGAUACUACUCUUAUUAACUCGAAAUUCUAACCUGCAGGUUACAUCAACCUGGGGAACAGUGUUAGGUGGGUAGUUUGACUGGGGCGGUCGCCUCCCAAAAUGUAACGGAGGCGCUCAAAGGUACUCUCAGGUUGGUUGGAAAUCAACUGUCGAGCGUAAUUGCAGAAGAGUGCUUGACUGCAAGACUUACAAGUCGAGCAGGGACGAAAGUCGGAAAUAGUGAUCCUGCGGUUCAGUAUGGAAUGGCCGUGGCUUAACGGAUAAAAGCUACCCUGGGGAUAACAGGCUGAUCUCCCCCAAGAGUUCACAUCGACGGGGAGGUUUGGCACCUCGAUGUCGGCUCAUCGCAUCCUGGAGCUGAAUUCGGUUCCAAGGGUUGGGCUGUCCGCCCAUUAAAGCGGUACGCGAGCUGGGUUCAAAACGUCGUGAGACAGUUUGGUCCCUAUCUGUUGUGGGCGUUGGAAUUUUGAGGAGCGCUGUCCCUAGUACGAGAGGACCAGGAUGGACGUACCUAUGGUGCACCAAUUGUUUCGCCAGAAGCAUAGUUGGAUAGCUAAGUACGGAUCGGAUAAACGCUGAAGGCAUCUAAGCGUGAAACCGACUCCAAGAUGAGAAUUCCCAUUCACUUGAUGAAGUAAGACCCCUUAUAGACUAUGAGGUUGAUAGGUUAAAGAUGGAAGUGUAGCAAUACAUUGAGUUGAUUAAUACUAAUAGGUCGAGGAUUUUAUCAU